CAGGGACCCUCUGCACACAUCAAGAACAGUCACCCACGAAGCAUCGUUACCCAUCGCUCCACAAAAACCGCGGCACUUGCAGAGCAAAAGGAACAACUACUUCAAGGUCUCAGAGCAAGUGAUGUCACCGAUCGAAACGCCACCAGCACGCCCUAACCCUAACUAGCUAGCCAUUUCACAUCGGUUACACUACCUACCCUUCAGGCUUAUUGAGAAGUUCAAUCAGUAUUGAUUGUGUCUCCUUCAGUAGUGUGGUCUUCCUACAGUAUGUUCUUGUUCCAAGUUGCUGCACGUGCCUGAUUUCCAGGAAGUGUAUAAGUACCCAAACCUGCCAGAGUACUUGAAGGACAGAGUGGUCUACAAUAUAUCAGAGAACAGGAAAGAAAACCUCCCCGUCGCUCUGCCUGGGGACUCCAUGGACAAGUACACUCUGGCUAAGCUAUAUACAGACAGUUCAUUACACACUGACUAAACUAUAGCCAGACACCUCAGUUCAGUCAUCGACUCAAUGGAAAGAGGGAAAGUAAGACGUAUUGACAUAACAUCUCUCAUCCACAAGAGGGCAUAUUUCCACAACCAAGGAGAGCUAUUAUAAAGAAAUCAGGCUCAUGUAGGCUACAGCUGCCAUCUUGGAUCAUGUUGCAUCAGCUAUGGAAGGAACACAGCUCUCCAACCUUCAGUGUGAACUGAACCCCUAAAGGAACAUCACUGAAGGUUUGAAAUGUCUGUCUGUCUGAUUCAUAAAGAUCAGAAAAUGACAUUUUCACACCGCACCUUCAACUUUGUUUAUGAGGGGUAGGGUAAAGUCAAAUAAGCCCAACCCUUAAGGUGUGCCUCCUGUAGAAAACUGGGACAAAAGAAACUGGACUGACAUUGAGCAUUUGUGGGCCACAAAGAGUGAAAGAAAAACAGACAUUUCAACCUGAAGACCAUGCCUCAGGACUACCUGAUGACUCCUUGCUGUCCCCAGUCCACC
Oncorhynchus kisutch (coho salmon) is the source of this 976-nucleotide long non-coding RNA. RefSeq lists it as uncharacterized. The record is from RefSeq and is a predicted model, not a curated record. The transcript has 3 exons. Lineage: Eukaryota; Metazoa; Chordata; Actinopteri; Salmoniformes; Salmonidae.